Molecule: ribosomal RNA, 465 nt
Filed under: Vreelandella stevensii
Lineage: Bacteria; Pseudomonadati; Pseudomonadota; Gammaproteobacteria; Oceanospirillales; Halomonadaceae
Description: partial 16S ribosomal RNA
Rfam family: Bacterial small subunit ribosomal RNA
Source: RNAcentral
CCUACGGGCGGCAGCAGUGGGGAAUAUUGGACAAUGGGCGAAAGCCUGAUCCAGCCAUGCCGCGUGUGUGAAGAAGGCCUUCGGGUUGUAAAGCACUUUCAGUGGGGAAGAAAGCCUUGGGGCUAAUACCCUCGAGGAAGGACAUCACCCACAGAAGAAGCACCGGCUAACUCCGUGCCAGCAGCCGCGGUAAUACGGAGGGUGCGAGCGUUAAUCGGAAUUACUGGGCGUAAAGCGCGCGUAGGCGGUCUGAUAAGCCGGUUGUGAAAGCCCCGGGCUCAACCUGGGAACGGCAUCCGGAACUGUCAGGCUAGAGUGCAGGAGAGGAAGGUAGAAUUCCCGGUGUAGCGGUGAACUGCGUAGAGAUCGGGAGGAAUACCAGUGGCGAAGGCGGCCUUCUGGACUGACACUGACGCUGAGGUGCGAAAGCGUGGGUAGCAAACAGGAUUAGAUACCCCUGUAGUC